RNAcentral lists this transfer RNA (77 nucleotides) under Streptomyces avidinii. RNAcentral's name for it is "tRNA-Pro(cgg)". The record is from RNAcentral. Lineage: Bacteria; Bacillati; Actinomycetota; Actinomycetes; Kitasatosporales; Streptomycetaceae.
CGGGUGAGUGCGGGAGGGCUGGGGCGGUUCGGGCUCGCCCAGGAUCGCGGUCCGCGGUGUCGUCGUGGUCAUCCGGC